GGACCACCAGAGGUCACUAUCAUUGCCAUCUUGGUUUUGCUAUGUCUCCCAGGCCGGAGUGCUGGAGUGCAGUGGUGCGAUAGAUCACAACUCACUGAUCACUAAUGGCUCACUAACCGUGUAUUGGUCAAGCUGGUUUCGAACUCCUGGGCUCAAGCAAUCCUCCUACCUCAGCCUCCCAACGUCCUGGGAUGACAGGCAUGAGCCACCACGCCUGGCUGUAUUAAGAUUUUUUUUUAAAUACACAAAGUAAUGUAGAGAGACAUCAUGUUAUAAAGUACCUCUAAGCCCCUGA
This is a long non-coding RNA of Homo sapiens (human), 295 nucleotides long. RefSeq lists it as uncharacterized. The transcript has 2 exons. The record is from RefSeq and is a predicted model, not a curated record. Lineage: Eukaryota; Metazoa; Chordata; Mammalia; Primates; Hominidae.